This 223-nucleotide long non-coding RNA is filed under the name Capsella rubella. RNAcentral describes it as "long non-coding RNA (CRUB_LNC000443)". The record is from RNAcentral. Lineage: Eukaryota; Viridiplantae; Streptophyta; Magnoliopsida; Brassicales; Brassicaceae.
ACUUGUUGAAAUUGGGUCCAAAAUAGGCUAAGAACUCGGAAACAUUGCGUUGAAGCACUAAAUGACUUAUCUAGUGUUGUUUAGGGUUAGAAUAUGAUAGAAUACAAUAAAUAUGAUUGAUUAAAAGUACUAGAGAUGCAUGAAGAGUGUUUAGAAGUGUGGAGAAAGACUUGUUGAAAUUGGGUCCCAAAUGGGCUAAGAACUCGGAAACAUUGAGUUGAAC